AGUGAACGCUGGCGGUGGGCCUAACACAUGCAAGUCGAACGGCAGCACAGUAAGAGCUUGCUCUUACGGGUGGCGAGUGGCGGACGGGUGAGGAAUACAUCGGAAUCUACUUUUUCGUGGGGGAUAACGUAGGGAAACUUACGCUAAUACCGCAUACGACCUACGGGUGAAAGCAGUGGUUCUUCGGACCUUGCGCGAUUCAAUGAGCCGAUGUCGGAGUAGCUAGUUGGCGGGGUAAAGGCCCACCAAGGCGACGAUACGUAGCUGGUCUGAGAGGAUGAUCAGCCACACUGGAACUGAGACACGGUCCAGACUCCUACGGGAGGCAGCAGUGGGGAAUAUUGGACAAUGGGCGCAAGCCUGAUCCAGCCAUACCGCGUGGGUGAAGAAGGCCUUCGGGUUGUAAAGCCCUUUUGUUGGGAAAGAAAAGCAGCAGGUGAAUACCCCGCUGUUCUGACGGUACCCAAAGAAUAAGCACCGGCUAACUUCGUG
RNAcentral lists this ribosomal RNA (492 nucleotides) under uncultured bacterium. RNAcentral's name for it is "partial 16S ribosomal RNA". It matches the Rfam family "Bacterial small subunit ribosomal RNA", at positions 29 to 507 of the family's 1533-position model. The record is from RNAcentral.